GAAAUGCGAUAAGUAAUGUGAAUUGCAGAAUUCAGUGAAUCAUCGAAUCUUUGAACGCACAUUGCGCCCGCCAGUACUCUGGCGGGCAUGCCUGUUCGAGCGUCAUUUCAACCAUCAAGCCCCCGGCUUGUGUUGGGGACCUGCGGCUGCCCGCAGGCCCUGAAAAACAGUGGCGGGCUCGCUGUCACACCGAGCGUAGUAGCAUACAUUCUCGCUCAGGGCGUGCUGCGGGUUCCGGCCGUUAAACGACCUUCAUAACCCAAGGUUGACCUCGGAUCAGGUAGGAAGACCCGCUGAACUUAAGCA
Molecule: unclassified non-coding RNA, 306 nt
Filed under: plant metagenome
Description: partial contains 5.8S ribosomal RNA, internal transcribed spacer 2, and large subunit ribosomal RNA
Rfam family: 5.8S ribosomal RNA (bases 1-105)
Source: RNAcentral